Molecule: small nucleolar RNA, 76 nt
Filed under: Sphenodon punctatus (tuatara)
Lineage: Eukaryota; Metazoa; Chordata; Lepidosauria; Sphenodontia; Sphenodontidae
Description: Small nucleolar RNA SNORD28 (ENSSPUG00000008118.1)
Rfam family: Small nucleolar RNA SNORD28
About the family: U28 is a member of the C/D class of snoRNA which contain the C (UGAUGA) and D (CUGA) box motifs. U28 is encoded within the U22 snoRNA host gene (UHG) in mammals and is thought to act as a 2'-O-ribose methylation guide for ribosomal RNA.
Source: Rfam by way of RNAcentral
GCCAGGUGAUCUUAAAACGUUCUCUGAAAAGCUCUUGAGGAUUCCUGGUUAAUAGCAUGUUAGAGUUCUGAUGGCG